RNAcentral lists this ribosomal RNA (275 nucleotides) under uncultured bacterium. RNAcentral's name for it is "partial 16S ribosomal RNA". It matches the Rfam family "Bacterial small subunit ribosomal RNA", at positions 524 to 794 of the family's 1533-position model. The record is from RNAcentral.
UACGUAGAGUGCAAGCGUUGUCCGGAAUUAUUGGGCGUAAAGGGUACGCAGGCGGAUAGUAAAGUCUAAGCGGUGAAAGGUGUCGGCUUAACCGACAGACUGCGUUUGAAACUGAUUAUCUUGAGUGUAACAGAGGAGAGUGGAAUUCCUAGUGUAGUGGUGAAAUACGUUAGAUAUUAGGAAGAACGACCAGUGGCGAAGGCGACUCUCUGGGUUAACACUGACGCUGAGGUACGAAAGCUGGGGAGCCAAACGGGAUUAGAUACCCCGGUAGU